RNAcentral lists this ribosomal RNA (525 nucleotides) under uncultured fungus. RNAcentral describes it as "SSU rRNA". It matches the Rfam family "Eukaryotic small subunit ribosomal RNA", at positions 569 to 1098 of the family's 1831-position model. Lineage: Eukaryota; Fungi. The record is from RNAcentral.
AGCAGCCGCGGUAAUUCCAGCUCCAAUAGCGUAUAUUAAAGUUGUUGCAGUUAAAAAGCUCGUAGUUGAAUUUCGGGAUCAGUACGUCGGUCGUGCCUUCGGUACGUACUGGCGUCGCUGAUUUCUUCCUUCUGACGAACCGUGAUGCCAUUAAUUUGGUGUUGCGGGGAAUCAGGACUGUUACUUUGAAAAAAUUGAGUGUUUAAAGCGGGCACGCGCUUGAAUACAUUAGCAUGGAAUAACGAAAUAGGACGUUCGAUCUUAUUUUGUUGGUUUCUAGGAUUGACGUAAUGAUUAAUAGGGAUAGUUGGGGGCAUUAGUAUUCAAUUGUCAGAGGUGAAAUUCUUGGAUUUAUGAAGACUAACUACUGCGAAAGCAUUUGCCAAGGAUGUUUCAUUAAUCAAGAACGAAAGUUAGGGGAUCGAAGACGAUCAGAUACCGUCGUAGUCUUAACCAUAAACUAUGCCGACUAGGGAUCGGAUGAUGUUAAUUUUAUAAUGACUCAUUCGGCGCCUUACGGGAAAA